RNAcentral lists this transfer RNA (74 nucleotides) under Hariotina sp. MMOGRB0030F. RNAcentral describes it as "tRNA-Arg". It matches the Rfam family "tRNA". Rfam says of the family: Transfer RNA (tRNA) molecules are approximately 80 nucleotides in length. Their secondary structure includes four short double-helical elements and three loops (D, anti-codon, and T loops). Further hydrogen bonds mediate the characteristic L-shaped molecular structure. tRNAs have two regions of fundamental functional importance: the anti-codon, which is responsible for specific mRNA codon recognition, and the 3' end, to which the tRNAs corresponding amino acid is attached (by aminoacyl-tRNA synthetases). tRNAs cope with the degeneracy of the genetic code in two manners: having more than one tRNA (with a specific anti-codon) for a particular amino acid; and 'wobble' base-pairing, i.e. permitting non-standard base-pairing at the 3rd anti-codon position. Lineage: Eukaryota; Viridiplantae; Chlorophyta; Chlorophyceae; Sphaeropleales; Scenedesmaceae. The record is from RNAcentral.
ACGCUAAUAGCUCAAUUGGAUAGAGUAUUGUACUACGGAUGCAAUGGUUGUGGGUUCAAGUCCUGCUUAGCGUA